GACGAACGCUGGCGGCGUGCUUAACACAUGCAAGUCGAACGGAAAGGCCCUGCUUUUGUGGGGUGCUCGAGUGGCGAACGGGUGAGUAACACGUGAGUAACCUGCCCUUGACUUUGGGAUAACUUCAGGAAACUGGGGCUAAUACCGGAUAGGAGCUCCUGCUGCAGGGUGGGGGUUGGAAAGUUUCGGCGGUUGGGGAUGAACUCGCGGCUUAUCAGCUUGUUGGUGGGGUAGUGGCUUACCAAGGCUUUGACGGGUAGCCGGCCUGAGAGGGUGACCGGCCACAUUGGGACUGAGAUACGGCCCAGACUCCUACGGGAGGCAGCAGUGGAGAAUAUUGCACAAUGGGCGGAAGCCUGAUGCAGCAACGCCGCGUGCGGGAUGACGGCCUUCGGGUUGUAAACCGCUUUCGCCUGUGACGAAGCGUGAGUGACGGUAAUGGGUAAAGAAGCACCGGCUAACUACGUG
RNAcentral lists this ribosomal RNA (468 nucleotides) under uncultured bacterium. RNAcentral describes it as "partial 16S ribosomal RNA". It matches the Rfam family "Bacterial small subunit ribosomal RNA", at positions 28 to 507 of the family's 1533-position model. The record is from RNAcentral.